RNAcentral lists this ribosomal RNA (491 nucleotides) under uncultured bacterium. RNAcentral's name for it is "partial 16S ribosomal RNA". It matches the Rfam family "Bacterial small subunit ribosomal RNA", at positions 29 to 506 of the family's 1533-position model. The record is from RNAcentral.
AGUGAACGCUGGCGGUAGGCCUAACACAUGCAAGUCGAACGGCAGCACAGUAAGAGCUUGCUCUUACGGGUGGCGAGUGGCGGACGGGUGAGGAAUACAUCGGAAUCUACUUUUUCGUGGGGGAUAACGUAGGGAAACUUACGCUAAUACCGCAUACGACCUACGGGUGAAAGCAGGGGAUCUUCGGACCUUGCGCGAUUGAAUGAGCCGAUGUCGGAUUAGCUAGUUGGCGGGGUAAAGGCCCACCAAGGCGACGAUCCGUAGCUGGUCUGAGAGGAUGAUCAGCCACACUGGAACUGAGACACGGUCCAGACUCCUACGGGAGGAAGCAGUGGGGAAUAUUGGACAAUGGGCGCAAGCCUGAUCCAGCCAUACCGCGUGGGUGAAGAAGGCCUUCGGGUGGUAAAGCCCUUUUGUUGGGAAAGAAAAGCAGCAGGUUAAUACCCCGCUGUUCUGACGGUACCCAAAGAAUAAGCACCGGCUAACUUCGU